RNAcentral lists this transfer RNA (61 nucleotides) under Warodia hoso. RNAcentral describes it as "tRNA-Asp". Lineage: Eukaryota; Metazoa; Arthropoda; Insecta; Hemiptera; Cicadellidae. RNAcentral also lists the same sequence under 2 other names. The record is from RNAcentral.
AAAAACUUAGUUUAUAAAAACAUUAAGUUGUCAACUUAAAAUAACUUAAGGGUAGUUUUUU